Molecule: long non-coding RNA, 690 nt
Organism: Pipistrellus kuhlii (Kuhl's pipistrelle)
Lineage: Eukaryota; Metazoa; Chordata; Mammalia; Chiroptera; Vespertilionidae
Exons: 3
Source: RefSeq, a predicted model, not a curated record
ACGUUUUAUGGAAGAGCGUUCCUGGGAGCACAAGGACACGGCUUCCUCACUCAGUGUGUCAGGGUUCAUCUGUGGGAACGUCUUCAGGGAGUGCUGGCUCCAUAGCUGAUGGGCGGAGAGUCUCCUAAUCACCAGAAUCAGGACACCGAGCUUUGGUGUGUCUCCAGGGCUUCUUAAGGCUCCACCCAGGAUAUUACAAAAGGCAAAGCAUUUGGGAUAUGAAUUAGACCUUGUCUCCAGAAAAAUCCCGGGAGGCAAACAGUAGAGGUGACAUCAUUGCUCAUUAGAAUGAUGGUGCUGCAAUCCCCACACUGUCUCAUUGACACAUGACGCCGCCCGCCUCUCUGCUCGGCUUCGUCUUGCUCCAUCCUGGUCCAGCGGGUCUGAAGGCAGGUUCACAGGUGGCGGAAAGAGAAACUUGCUCGCAUCAUGAAGAGGAGAUUAACAUUUUGACUCAGAUAGGAAGGCAGCCUCUGCACACAGCACUCUAAUCCAAACGGCUCCAUGAGGUGGCUGCUCCGUUCACCGCUGCUGCCCCCCUGGAGCCCCUGAACAGAGGGGCAUUUACCCAGCCCAGCAGAGCUCUGAGAUCUGACAUGCGUAAAAGGCCUGCCCCCAUUCCUGAGGAAGGGAACAUGCCAGGAUUGGCUUCUCGUGACCAACCUUCCUCAUUUCACUCUUGUAUGAUAA